Hypanus sabinus (Atlantic stingray) is the source of this 6309-nucleotide RNA transcript. It is a transcript of the gene named inositol polyphosphate multikinase b, with no coding region annotated. The transcript has 8 exons. The record is from RefSeq and is a predicted model, not a curated record. NCBI's taxonomy places the organism in Eukaryota, Metazoa, Chordata, Chondrichthyes, Myliobatiformes, Dasyatidae.
GCGGCGCGCGGCCGGCUCCAGGGAGGGACGCGGAAGCGCCAGGCUCCGGGGGCGGAGAAGUCUUCAUGGGUUUGAGGCGGCGGCGGCCGAGCGACGGCCUGUCCCGGAGAGUCGGGGCACUCGGCGGGUAGGAUCACUUGGUCAGUGGGCAAUGGAGAGCGGGGUGAGUGCGGGCGGCCAGGCCCCGAGCCCGGGCCUGGGGCUCCACCGCUUCCCGAACGGCUGCACCCCUCUUAGCCACCAGGUCGCCGGACACAAGUAUGGGAAAUCGGAGCUGGGUAUGUUACAACAUCCAGAUGGGACGGUAUUAAAACAGUUGCAACCACCUCCUCGUGGACCCAGAGAGAUGAAUUUCUACAACAUGGUAUUUGGUUCUUCGUGUCAUGAUCAGGUAUUCUUGGAACUUCGUAAAUUCCUGCCACAGUUCCUUGGUACUUGGGCACCAUCAACUGCACCUAAUGAAUUGUAUCUUAAACUGGAAGAUGUGACGCGUUGUUUCAGCAAGCCAUGCAUCAUGGAUGUUAAAAUUGGGAAAAAGAGUUAUGACCCCGAUGCUUCAGCUGAGAAAAUACAACAACAGAUCAGCAAAUACCCACUGAUGGAAGAAAUUGGCUUCUUGGUUCUUGGCAUGAGGGUCUACCAGUUUUCAUCUGAUAGCUACGUGGCAUAUGACCAGCACUAUGGAAGAGGCUUAACAAAGGAAACUUUGAAAGAUGGUCUGUCUAAAUUCUUCCACAAUGGAAGCUAUUUGAGGAAAGAUGCGGUGGCUUCAAGUAUUCAAGAGAUUAAAAAGAUAUUGCACUGGUUUGAGAGGCAAAGUAAGCUCUGUUUUUAUGCAAGCUCCUUACUGUUUGUGUAUGAGGGAUCAUCAGAGCUGAGAGCGACAGGUAACAAAGCUGACAAACCAGCAGCACCAAAGGGUAUACGGAGAACUGGAGAGCUGAUGGAAUACAACAACAACAUUCAUGUGAUGGACUCUACUGAGAACGGAAUAGUAGAAGCCUCGGUUGGUCAAAGCCUCUCCAAUAUGUAUGCACUUCACAGGAAGGGUUGUUUCCGUGCACACCAAAGUGUGGUCCCACUACAGCUGAAGAAUACAGAACAAGACCAUGGGAUAUGCAAGUGCUUAACUCUCAUUCCACCUGGUCAGCCAAAUGGCAAUGAAAUGAACCAAUUGGAGAAAGAUUUCAUUCAUGCAUCGAGCAUGGUUCCAGAGCCUCCAGAAGUUGCUGUAAGAAUGAUAGACUUUGCACAUGUGUUUCCUAGCAACACAAAAGAUGAAGAGUAUAUAUAUGGGCUGAAACACUUAAUCAGUGUGUUACAAAAUAUGCUGGAUGAUUAAUUUUUUAAAAAAUAUUGGUGGGUAGAUUGUUGGCAAGCAAAUAAAUGCAGGGGAAUUAUAUUGAUUUCUGCACAAGUUUUGAUCCAUCAUUUUGUGUUUAUAAUGUGAUUCCAGGUGUACUGUUUGCUUCUUUCACUGUACAGUACUACUUGUGAUUGAUUUGAUGUUUAUAAUAGCUCAGGAAAAUUUAUCAACUCAUCAUUGACAGCCGCUGAAACAGGGCCAGAAACCUGCAGAGGGCAGCUCACGCCUUGUAACUACUGACAAGGAAAUUUAUGAGUUCCCGCUGUUUGUAACAAACCCACAGACUUCAGUGAUGAUAAUUGGUUUUUCGGAUAUGUAACCAACUGCCUGCCAAUCCUAGGCAUGGAACUUGUGCCUAUGGAAUAUUCUAUCUUCAGUGAAGACCAGGGCAAGGCAGCACCCCAGCAGUAUUUAAAGGGACUGUUUACAAAUGGGAAUGGAUAUCGGAAUGUAUAUCGUGGACAGCAGUCAUGACAUCUUGGUGGAAUCGCAAGGCACCUCCUUGGAUUUGAUCCUGAACUAGAGAUCCCCUGUCUCUAGUUCCAGCACGCCCCUGACUAGACAGGGUGCGAACUCGCAAAGUCCUGUUGGCCAGAGUCGGCUUGUCUGUCCUUGUGGGUAGGACUGGGUCUCCAGAAGGCUCCAGGUUACCCUGAACUGAGGUCUGCCCCUGUCGGGUGGUGGUUUCAGGAGAGCCUGGGUGUCAGAACACCACGCUGAAAAAAUACCCUCUUGCAAUGACUGGACCAAGCAAUGAUCCUCUCUUCCUUCUAUUCACAGGAGGGUCACACUGGGACAGCCAGGGAUCCCUGAGGAUCAGGGGUAUGAAAGGUGAUAUAGAAACUAAUAUCCUCCGUAUGAUCCUCAAUCCUCAUCAGCAAAACCAACGUCUGCUGCUGGAUCUGCCUGGAGCCUAGCAGAUGGCCAUCCAGGACAAUUGUGGACAUGGACAGGCUCAAUUCCUGCAGUGUUGUAUUGAGCUGACAGGUGGUCCCUAAGUCCAGGAAAUUGCAAUCUGCCCCAGAGCCCACAAAAGCACUCACCUCUCUUCAGUUUUGACCUCAGGAGAUCUCCGCCCUCAGCAUGACACCAGAAUCCAUGGGGUUGGGAGCAGUGGCUGCUACCAUUACAGUCCUCCUGACACUGGACAAUCUUAGCAGUUCUCCCGAAGGCUGAAGCUUUGGACAAUCAGCCUGCAGGUGACCUGCUUCCCCGUAGUAAUAGAAGCCACCAGGACUCUGACACGGGACCCCUCAUCAGCGAAAAGUCCUCUGCAGCCGCUUUGCAUUGGUUCGACAGGAGACAGGCUGGUCAUUGUCCAAGAUGGGUGAGUGGAACUGCAAUGUGUUCAGGCUCGGGCUAGCCCUCUCCAACCUCUUGAAGCAGUCCCACAUUUGCUCCGCCAGAUGAUUACCAAGAUGGAUGGACUGGUUGAUAAAAACCUCUGAGUCCUCUGUGGGGUCUCCCAAAGCAAGGCAUCCUUCAGUGCGUCUUGGAGUUCAUGGUAGUACAGAAUGGUUAAGGCUUCCCCAUUUCAGCUGCUCUCUUGAGCCUAAGUACAAAACUUGAUGGCAUAGCUGGCCACUGAAUAUCUGCCCUGUCAUAUCUUCAUCAGACAGUCCAAGGCUCAUCUUGCUCCAUUGGGGUGAUGGGACACCUUCCUUAUGUUGGCCAUGGAUUCCUCUGAAUCCGAGCAAAUCUCUGACCUGCGUUCCUGAUGCGUGGUGGCCUGGGCCAGGGCUCUCCCAGUCAGGAGAGAGAUAAUGGAGGGCAUUUUUCCAUGCUCUGAAGGGAACCGUGAUGGCUGUACUGACCACCAAUGAGCAAUGAGCGAGGAAGCCGCGGCAAGAACCCAGGUCACCAUCAAAUCUCUCCACGGUCGGUAGAUGUAUCGACACUGCAGAGUGACUGACAGCCUCACCUGACCAACUCUGGCUUCCCCCCAGCGGAAGUUGGCACACAGUGACCUGGAGGUCAUGUAUUUCCAGGCUUGGUCUAGAAAUGCUCUCACUGUGGCCGGCCACAGCAGACAGAAGAUUAAUACCAUGUCUGGCUCAAUCAUACUGUGAUGAGAGACCUAGGUAAGAAUGGUUGAACCAAGUGCUGGAGUAUCUGAGGCAGAAAUGGAGACAUGAUGCGAGUCUGAAACAAGAACAGAAUACUAAAUUGGACGCUAGAUGAUAACUCAAGUAGAGCUGACCAUUGAGCACUGAAUCUCCAUUCACAUGUUCCUUAAACAUUGAAAUCCUGGCACCAAAACAUGGUUGCCAAUUAGAAGGAUGGUCCUGAAUCCUUAAAAGGACCAAGCCGGUUAUCCAUAUUCUGGAGAGUUAGUGUCAAAAUCUCAGAAGCUGGCAUGGCUGGUUGUAAGAUGUAAGUAAUAUUGAAAGAAUAUAGAGAAAUUUUACAGGAGCAAACACGAGGAAAUCUGCAGAUGCUGGAAAUUCAAAAAAUACACACAAAAUGCUGGUGGAACACAGCAGGCCAGGCAACAUCUAUAAGGAGAAGCACUAUCGACGUUUCGGGCAGAGACCUUUCAUCAGGACUAACUGAAAGGAAAGAUAGUAAGAGGUAUAAGAGAAAUUUUACAGGACCUAAGUUAGAAGGAAAAAUUGAAUAGGUUACACCUUUCUUCCCCAGAACAUAGAAGACUGAGGGGAAAUAUCAUAGAGGUAUACAAAAUUAUGAGGAGUAUAGAUAGUGUAAAUGCAAGCAGUCUUUUUCCACUGGGGUUGGUUAGACUAGAACUAGAGGUCAUGGGUUAAGGGUGAAAGAUGAAAUGUUUAAGGGGAACAUGAGGGGAAGCCUCCACAGUCAGAGAGUAGUAAGAGUGCAGAAUGAGCUACCAGCACAAGAAGUGGGAGCGAUUUUGAUUUCAGUGUUUGGAAAGAUACAUGAUGGGAGCAGUAAGGAGGGCUAUGGUCAAUGGGACUAGGCAGUUUAAAUGGUUCAGCAUUGAUUAGAUGGGCUGAAGGGCCUGUUUCUCUCCUGUAGUUUUCUAUGACUUUAUGACUCACAGCAUCCUAUCUGUCUUUGGAAUGUGUGAGGAGACCAGAGCACCAAGAGGAAAUGGGAUCGAGGGAGAACAUACAGCAUCUUUACGGUCAGCAGAGAGAAUUGAACCCAAUCAGUGACAGCCAAUACUAUAAAGUAACUGCACUAACUGCCAUACUAAUGUGUCAAUUCAGGAUGCUUACACUAGUAGGAGAGUUUAUGAUCCGAGGGUCACAAAUAAAGGGUCAUCUCUUUAAAAUAGAGAUCAGAAUGAGUUUCUUCAGACACAGGGUGGCGAAUGUGUAGAACACAUUGCUGAAGAGGGCGGUGGCGGCCAAACCAUUGGGUGCACUUAAGGCAGAGAUUAAUAAGGUUUUGAUUGGUCAAGGUGUUAAGACUUAUAGGCAGAAGGUUGUAGAAAGGGGUUGAAAAAAAUGUCAGCCAUUAUUGAAAGGUAGAACAGACUUGAUGAGCCAAAUGGCCUAAUUCUACUUCUAUUUAUGAUCUUACCAUUCAUAUGCCGCUGAAUGUAAGUAUAAACCUUUGAUUCCAAAUCUUCAUCAACAAUUAUGAGAAAGGCAUAAGAACACCAUAGGAUCAUAAGACCAUUUGAUAUAAGAGCAGAAUUAGGGCAUUUGGCUAAUCAAGUCUGCUCUGCCAUUUCAUCAUGGCUGAUACAAUUUUCCUCUUAGCCCCAAUCUCCUGCCUUCUCCCUAUAUCCCUUUAUGCCCUGACCAAUCAAGAAUCUAUUAAUCUCUGGAUUAAAUAUACAUUAAGACUUGGCUGCAUUAAAUAUACAUAAAGACUUUGCCUCCAGAGUGCCCUUGGCAAAGAAUUCCACAGAUUCACCACUCCCUGGAUAAAGAAAUUCCUCCUCAUUUCCAUUCUAAAAGAACACCCUUCUAUUUGAAGCUGUAUCCUCUGUUCUUAGACUCUCCCACCACAGGAAACAUCUUCUCCGCAUCCACUCUAUCAAGGCCUUUCACCAUUUGAUAGGUUUCAAUGUGGUCACCCCUCAUUCUUCUGAGGUCCAGUGAAUACAGGCCCAGAGCCAUCAAACACUCUUCAUAUGACAAGCCAUUCAAUCAUGGAAUAUUUUUCAUGAAUCUCCUUUGAACCAUCUCCAGUUUCAGCACAUCCUUUCUAAGAUAGGGGGCCCAAAUCUGCACACAUUACUCCAAGUGAGGCCUCACCAGUGCUUUAAAACUUUCAACAUUACAUCCUUGCUCUUGAAAUGAAUGCUAACAUUGCAUUCCUGCAACCUCAACCUGCAAGUUAACCUUAAGGGAAUCCCAAGCCUCUUUGCAACUCAGUUUUUAUAUUUUCUCUCCAUUUAGAAAAUAGUCAACCCUUUCAUUUCUUCCACCAAAGUGCAUGACCGUACACUUCCUGACACAAUAUUCCAGCUGCCAUUUCUUGGCCCAAUCUGCUUCAGUCCUUAUGUAGCCUCUCUACUUCCUCAAAACUACCUGCCUCUCCACCUAUCUUCAUAUUGUCUGCAAACUUUUCAACAAAGCCAUCAAUUCCCUCAUCUAAGCAUUGACGAGUAACAUAAAAAGAAUUGAUUCCAACAUUGACCCCUGUGGAACACCACUAGUCACUGGCAACCAGCCAGAAAGGCUCCCUUUAUUCCCACUCAAAGACACAAAACUGGAGUCUGCUGGGAAAUGCUGAACACCACAGUCAGUAUUUACUCCUCAGGACGUGCCAGCAGUUGAUUGUUCCUGUGUGAAUUUGGUAAGUCAAGAACACCAUGAAUUCAACCUCAGACCAUAUCCCAAAAACUGUUGCAGGAGUUCUCUAGCAAUUUUAGGAUUUCUCAUGGAGUUCAAUGGUGGAUCAUGAAUUUUCUGCCAUUCCUUGAAUGCAGAAUGUGGUAAUUUGUCACUGACCUUGGAAUGAACUGUUCAUGAAUGGUGUGACUACUCAUUUGAACAGAGAGAUCUUGC